ACGCCGCUCUCGCUCACCGUAUGGUGGUGCGACGAUGGCUCGCUUAUUAGCUAUGGCGGCAGAAAAGGGGUGUUUUGCACCGACGGCUUCGACGAAGCCUCGGUCAAGAUACUCGCUCGCUAUCUGGGAGUUGUUUGGAACAUACGCACCAUUGUUGCGCCCGUCGGGCCUAAACGAGACGGCACAAAGGAGCAGUACUGGCGGAUUUGGAUCCGGUCCACGGAGGAAUUGCAAAAAUUUCUUCGGAUCAUCCUGCCCCAUGUACCGCUCUGCAUGAUCCAUAAAACAAUACUCCUCUACAAAGACCCUCAAUUUCAACAACGCUGGAUAUCUGAAAUAAUCCGUCUGACGCACUUUUCGCGUGAUGCCGUAAUGGCGGCAUACGAAAAGAAAAGAAUCAGAUGGAAAGGUUUCUAGAUAAAGAUAUAGUCCGGACUCUGCAGUAAUGCAGAGAAUGAGGCAGAAAUGCCCUCAUCAGUUAUUCCAAGAAUAACUCGUAACAAAUUCAACCCCGGUAGUCUACGCCCUAAACGAUCCUGACUGGCUUUCCGGAGUAUCGACCCUCUGGGAGGCGAAGCUAACGCGUUAAGUCAGGCGCCUGGGUAGUACGGCCGCAAGGCUAAAACUCAAAGGAAUAGACGGGGGCUUGCACAAGCGGUGGAGCGUGUGGCUCAAUUCGUCGCUAAACGAAGAACCUUACCAAGGCUAGAAAUCCUACUGCACGCCUAUCGAAAGAUAGGAAGCCUUCGAGGGUGUAGGACAGGUGAUGCAUGGCUGUCGUCAGUUCGUGGUUUGAACCGUUCCCUUCAGUGGGGUAACGAACGCAACCCUCGUUGCCUGUUAUAUUUGUCAGGCGAGACUGCCCCCUCACGGGGGAGGAAGGUGAGGAUGACGCCAAGUCAGCAUGUCCCUCUGAUGCCUUGGGCUGCACACGCGCUACAAUCGCCACUACAGCGGGGCGCGACGUCGUAAGACUGAGCAAAUCCUUCAAAAGUGGCGCCAGUUCGGAUUGGGGUCUGCAACUCGACCCCAUGAAGCCGGAAUCGCUAGUAAUCGCGGGUCAGCUAUACCGCGGUGAAUACGUUCUCAAGCCUUGUACUCACCGCCCGUCAACUCAGGGAAGUUGGGAGUGCCCGAAGCUCAUCCUUGCGAUGGUCCAAGGCAAACUCAAUGACAAAGAGUAAGU
RNAcentral lists this ribosomal RNA (1186 nucleotides) under groundwater metagenome. Its description in RNAcentral is "bacterial SSU rRNA". The stretch from base 415 to 1186 matches the Rfam family "Bacterial small subunit ribosomal RNA". The record is from RNAcentral.